This 160-nucleotide ribosomal RNA is filed under the name uncultured beta proteobacterium. RNAcentral describes it as "partial 16S ribosomal RNA". It matches the Rfam family "Bacterial small subunit ribosomal RNA", at positions 335 to 487 of the family's 1533-position model. Lineage: Bacteria; Pseudomonadati; Pseudomonadota; Betaproteobacteria. The record is from RNAcentral.
ACUCCUACGGGAGGCAGCAGUGGGGAAUUUUGGACAAUGGGCGAAAGCCUGAUCCAGCAAUGCCGCGUGCAGGAUGAAGGCCCUCGGGUUGUAAACUGCUUUUGUACGGAACGAAAAGCCUGGGGCUAAUAUCCCCGGGUCAUGACGGUACCGUAAGAAU